This 2235-nucleotide ribosomal RNA is filed under the name Salmonella enterica subsp. enterica serovar Inverness. RNAcentral describes it as "bacterial LSU rRNA". It matches the Rfam family "Bacterial large subunit ribosomal RNA", at positions 594 to 2812 of the family's 2925-position model. The record is from RNAcentral. Lineage: Bacteria; Pseudomonadati; Pseudomonadota; Gammaproteobacteria; Enterobacterales; Enterobacteriaceae.
UGACUGCGUACCUUUUGUAUAAUGGGUCAGCGACUUAUAUUCUGUAGCAAGGUUAACCGAAUAGGGGAGCCGCAGGGAAACCGAGUCUUAAUUGGGCGUUAAGUUGCAGGGUAUAGACCCGAAACCCGGUGAUCUAGCCAUGGGCAGGUUGAAGGUUGGGUAACACUAACUGGAGGACCGAACCGACUAAUGUUGAAAAAUUAGCGGAUGACCUGUGGCUGGGGGUGAAAGGCCAAUCAAACCGGGAGAUAGCUGGUUCUCCCCGAAAGCUAUUUAGGUAGCGCCUCGUGAAUUCAUCUCCGGGGGUAGAGCACUGUUUCGGCUAGGGGGCCAUCCCGGCUUACCAACCCGAUGCAAACUGCGAAUACCGGAGAAUGUUAUCACGGGAGACACACGGCGGGUGCUAACGUCCGUCGUGAAGAGGGAAACAACCCAGACCGCCAGCUAAGGUCCCAAAGUCAUGGUUAAGUGGGAAACGAUGUGGGAAGGCCCAGACAGCCAGGAUGUUGGCUUAGAAGCAGCCAUCAUUUAAAGAAAGCGUAAUAGCUCACUGGUCGAGUCGGCCUGCGCGGAAGAUGUAACGGGGCUAAACCAUGCACCGAAGCUGCGGCAGCGACGCUGAUGCGUUGUUGGGUAGGGGAGCGUUCUGUAAGCCUGUGAAGGUGUGUCGUGAGGCAUGCUGGAGGUAUCAGAAGUGCGAAUGCUGACAUAAGUAACGAUAAAGCGGGUGAAAAGCCCGCUCGCCGGAAGACCAAGGGUUCCUGUCCAACGUUAAUCGGGGCAGGGUGAGUCGACCCCUAAGGCGAGGCCGAAAGGCGUAGUCGAUGGGAAACGGGUUAAUAUUCCCGUACUUGGUGUUACUGCGAAGGGGGGACGGAGAAGGCUAUGUUGGCCGGGCGACGGUUGUCCCGGUUUAAGCGUGUAGGUGUGUGUUCCAGGUAAAUCCGGUUCACUUUAACACUGAGGCGUGAUGACGAGGCACUACGGUGCUGAAGCAACAAAUGCCCUGCUUCCAGGAAAAGCCUCUAAGCAUCAGGUAACAUCAAAUCGUACCCCAAACCGACACAGGUGGUCAGGUAGAGAAUACCAAGGCGCUUGAGAGAACUCGGGUGAAGGAACUAGGCAAAAUGGUGCCGUAACUUCGGGAGAAGGCACGCUGACACGUAGGUGAAGUGAUUUACUCACGGAGCUGAAGUCAGUCGAAGAUACCAGCUGGCUGCAACUGUUUAUUAAAAACACAGCACUGUGCAAACACGAAAGUGGACGUAUACGGUGUGACGCCUGCCCGGUGCCGGAAGGUUAAUUGAUGGGGUCAGCGCAAGCGAAGCUCCUGAUCGAAGCCCCGGUAAACGGCGGCCGUAACUAUAACGGUCCUAAGGUAGCGAAAUUCCUUGUCGGGUAAGUUCCGACCUGCACGAAUGGCGUAAUGAUGGCCAGGCUGUCUCCACCCGAGACUCAGUGAAAUUGAACUCGCUGUGAAGAUGCAGUGUACCCGCGGCAAGACGGAAAGACCCCGUGAACCUUUACUAUAGCUUGACACUGAACAUUGAGCCUUGAUGUGUAGGAUAGGUGGGAGGCUUUGAAGUGUGGACGCCAGUCUGCAUGGAGCCGACCUUGAAAUACCACCCUUUAAUGUUUGAUGUUCUAACGUGGACCCGUAAUCCGGGUUGCGGACAGUGUCUGGUGGGUAGUUUGACUGGGGCGGUCUCCUCCUAAAGAGUAACGGAGGAGCACGAAGGUUGGCUAAUCCUGGUCGGACAUCAGGAGGUUAGUGCAAUGGCAUAAGCCAGCUUGACUGCGAGCGUGACGGCGCGAGCAGGUGCGAAAGCAGGUCAUAGUGAUCCGGUGGUUCUGAAUGGAAGGGCCAUCGCUCAACGGAUAAAAGGUACUCCGGGGAUAACAGGCUGAUACCGCCCAAGAGUUCAUAUCGACGGCGGUGUUUGGCACCUCGAUGUCGGCUCAUCACAUCCUGGGGCUGAAGUAGGUCCCAAGGGUAUGGCUGUUCGCCAUUUAAAGUGGUACGCGAGCUGGGUUUAGAACGUCGUGAGACAGUUCGGUCCCUAUCUGCCGUGGGCGCUGGAGAACUGAGGGGGGCUGCUCCUAGUACGAGAGGACCGGAGUGGACGCAUCACUGGUGUUCGGGUUGUCAUGCCAAUGGCACUGCCCGGUAGCUAAAUGCGGAAGAGAUAAGUGCUGAAAGCAUCUAAGCACGAAACUUGCCCCGAGAUGAGUUCU